RNAcentral lists this ribosomal RNA (468 nucleotides) under uncultured bacterium. RNAcentral's name for it is "partial 16S ribosomal RNA". It matches the Rfam family "Bacterial small subunit ribosomal RNA", at positions 28 to 507 of the family's 1533-position model. The record is from RNAcentral.
GACGAACGCUGGCGGCGUGCUUAACACAUGCAAGUCGAACGGAAAGGCCCUGCUUUUGUGGGGUGCUCGAGUGGCGAACGGGUGAGUAACACGUGAGUAACCUGCCCUUGACUUUGGGAUAACUUCAGGAAACUGGGGCUAAUACCGGAUAGGAGCUCCUGCUGCAUGGUGGGGGUUGGAAAGUUUCGGCGGUUGGGGAUGGACUCGCGGCUUAUCAGCUUGUUGGUGGGGUAGUGGCUUACCAAGGCUUUGACGGGUAGCCGGCCUGAGAGGGUGACCGGCCACAUUGGGACUGAGAUACGGCCCAGACUGCUACGGGAGGCAGCAGUGGGGAAUAUUGCAAAAUGGGCGGAAGCCUGAUGCAGCAACGCCGCGUGCGGGAUGACGGCCUUCGGGUUGUAAACCGCUUUCGCCUGUGACGAAGCGUGAGUGACGGUAAUGGGUAAAGAAGCACCGGCUAACUACGUG